GCCACCGUGGCGCAAUGGUAGCGCAUCACCUUCCUAUCGUCUAGGAUUGAACACGAUUGCGGGGCCAGGUGGGGGUUGCGGGUUCGAUCCCCGUCGGUGGUA
This is a non-coding RNA of Cerioporus squamosus, 102 nucleotides long. The record is from the annotation of a GenBank genome assembly. NCBI's taxonomy places the organism in Eukaryota, Fungi, Basidiomycota, Agaricomycetes, Polyporales, Polyporaceae.